This 482-nucleotide long non-coding RNA is filed under the name Carica papaya (papaya). RNAcentral describes it as "long non-coding RNA (CPAP_LNC000671)". The record is from RNAcentral. Lineage: Eukaryota; Viridiplantae; Streptophyta; Magnoliopsida; Brassicales; Caricaceae.
GAGACCAAGGAGAGAGCUUGAUUAUUAGGAUAAGACCAAAUAGAACCUCAAAAGACUCGUAGGUAUCAAGAAAUGCUUAGACUACAUAUUUUAAGGCUGUAAGGAAUGAAAAAGAUAAGAAAAAUUUUAUGUGGAGAAGUGAAGAGAAAGCACACAACUAAAUGAAUUCGUGCGCGCAUGAAGGGAGCAUGCGCAUAGCCAGCUCGUGCAUAUGUCGCGCACGCAGAGGCGCAUGCUAUGAACAUAUAGACUCGCACUCUAGGGGAAAGAGUCGUACCUUUAGAUAGACUCCUAUAAGAUGGAGGCCCAGCCCAAUUGGCGACUUUAUACAUAAAUUAUGUCCAAGAAGGUCUAGGGCAAUCGGUUUAAGAGGCUAGAGCCCAAGAAUUGAACCCUUAUAGACCUUGUUUCCAAGAUACGUUCCAUGAGGAGCUUUUCAAGCCAAGUCAAGAGAAACCAAGGUGUGCAAGCCUAUGGUCGAG